Molecule: ribosomal RNA, 253 nt
Filed under: uncultured bacterium
Lineage: Bacteria
Description: partial 16S ribosomal RNA
Rfam family: Bacterial small subunit ribosomal RNA
Source: RNAcentral
GACGAACCGUGCGAACGUUGUUCGGAAUCACUGGGCCUAAAGGGCGCGUAGGCGGAUCAUCAAGUCCGGGGUGAAAGCCUCCAGCUUAACUGGAGAAGUGCCUUGGAUACUGGUGAUCUCGAGGGAGGUAGGGGCAUGCGGAACUUCCGGUGGAGCGGUGAAAUGCGUAGAUAUCGGAAGGAACGCCGGUGGCGAAGGCGGCAUCCUGGACCAACACUGACACUGAGGAGCGAAAGCCAGGGGAGCAAACGGG